Molecule: long non-coding RNA, 229 nt
Filed under: Musa acuminata (dwarf banana)
Lineage: Eukaryota; Viridiplantae; Streptophyta; Magnoliopsida; Zingiberales; Musaceae
Description: long non-coding RNA (MACU_LNC010197)
Source: RNAcentral
ACCAAUUCUUUGACGGAUGGGUUGUAUCCUUGGCCCUAGAGUAGCUCAUUCUGAAAGUCUUACAACGUAGCUCAGCCUGAAAAAAGUACCAUCAAUCAAUAUCUUCUAUUAACAACAAUAAGUCUUUGGAUGGUUGGUGAAAGUGUUCAUCGCACCUACUCGGCCACAAUCUCAUUCUGAAAGUCACUCCGCUCAGCUCAGCUCAUUCUUUUCCUCAAGGUAACAUAGC